RNAcentral lists this ribosomal RNA (1353 nucleotides) under uncultured bacterium. RNAcentral's name for it is "bacterial SSU rRNA". It matches the Rfam family "Bacterial small subunit ribosomal RNA", at positions 23 to 1368 of the family's 1533-position model. The record is from RNAcentral.
CUCAGGAUGAACACUAGCUACAGGCUUAACACAUGCAAGUCGAGGGGCAGCAUGGAGUCUGCUUGCAGACUCUGAUGGCGACCGGCGCACGGGUGAGUAACGCGUAUCCAACCUGCCCAUUACUCGGGCAUAGCCCAGUGAAAACUGGAUUAACUCCCGAUGCUGUUCUGAUGUGGCAUCUUAUCAGGACAAAAGGUUUACGGUAAUGGAUGGGGAUGCGUCUGAUUAGGUAGUAGGCGGGGUAACGGCCCACCUAGCCGACGAUCAGUAGGGGUUCUGAGAGGAAGGUCCCCCACACUGGAACUGAGACACGGUCCAGACUCCUACGGGAGGCAGCAGUGAGGAAUAUUGGUCAAUGGGCGCGAGCCUGAACCAGCCAAGUGGCGUGCAGGAUGACGGCCCUAUGGGUUGUAAACUGCUUUUAUACGGGAACAAUCGCAGGUACGUGUACCUGUCUGCGUGUACCGUAUGAAUAAGCAUCGGCUAACUCCGUGCCAGCAGCCGCGGUAAUACGGAGGAUGCGAGCGUUAUCCGGAUUUAUUGGGUUUAAAGGGAGCGUAGGUGGUUUGUUAAGCCAGCUGUGAAAUACUGUAGCUCAACUACAGCCGUGCAGUUGGAACUGGCAGACUUGAGUGCACAAGAGGAAGGUGGAAUUCGUGGUGUAGCGGUGAAAUGUUUAGAUAUCACGAAGAACUCCGAUUGCGAAGGCAGCCUUCUGGGGUGCAACUGACACUGAGGCUCGAAAGUGCGGGUAUCGAACAGGAUUAGAUACCCUGGUAGUCCGCACAGUAAACGAUGGAUACUCGCUGCCGGCGAUAGACAGUCGGUGGCUUAGCGAAAGCGUUAAGUAUCCCACCUGGGGAGUACGCCGGCAACGGUGAAACUCAAAGGAAUUGACGGGGGCCCGCACAAGCGGAGGAACAUGUGGUUUAAUUCGAUGAUACGCGAGGAACCUUACCCAGGCUAGAACGGCAGGAUGAAUCUUAGGAGAGACCCUUUGAGCCUUCGGGCAUCCUGUUGAGGUGCUGCAUGGUUGUCGUCAGCUCGUGCCGUGAGGUGUCGGCUUAAGUGCCAUAACGAGCGCAACCCUUGCUGCCAGUUGCCAUCGGGUCAUGCCGGGCACUCUGGCGGGACUGCCAUCGCAAGAUGUGAGGAAGGUGGGGAUGACGUCAAAUCAGCACGGCCCUUACGUCUGGGGCUACACACGUGUUACAAUGGAGGGUACAGAGGGGAGCCACCUGGCGACAGGGCGCUGAUCCCGAAAUCCCUUCUCAGUUCGGAUUGGAGUCUGUAACCCGACUCCAUGAAGCUGGAUUCGCUAGUAAUCGCGCAUCAGCCAUGGCGCGGUGAAUA